GAAGUUUCCUGGUAGGGCAGAUACCAUCAUCAUGAAAAACAGUAUUCCCAGGGUGACGUUUGCACUCAGGAUAUGCUGAUCCCUGUAGUUGCUCUGAAUACAGGAAAUUUAACAGCAUACUUUGACUGCAUAAUUUCUGGUUGUGAGAGGACUGUAUUUGAGCAUCCCCCUG
This is a small nuclear RNA of Sceloporus undulatus (fence lizard), 172 nucleotides long. RefSeq annotates it as U1 spliceosomal RNA. The record is from RefSeq and is a predicted model, not a curated record. Lineage: Eukaryota; Metazoa; Chordata; Lepidosauria; Squamata; Phrynosomatidae. The transcript has a single exon.